GUCCUAUUGUAUUAUUUAAUAGGUCUGGCCUGCCCAGUGAUAAUUUUAACGGCCGCGGUAUAUUGACCGUGCAAAGGUAGCAUAAUCAUUAGUCUUUUAAUAGGAGGCUGGAAUGAAAGGUUUAACGAGAAAUUGACUGUCUCAAUUGCAAUCUUGAAUUUAUCUUUUGAGUCAAAAGACUUAAAUAUAAUUGGUGGACGAGAAGACCCUAUAGAGCUUGACAAUUAUUUUUUUAUAUUUACUUAGUCUGAAAUUAUUUAUUUAUAUUAAAAAAAUUGUUUUGUUGGGGUGACAAUAAAUAUAUAUUUAACUUUUAUCAUAAUAUUAACAUUAAUUUAUGACUUUUGGAUCCAAAAUUUUUGAUCAUUAGACUAAGUUACC
Molecule: ribosomal RNA, 381 nt
Filed under: Ischnura fountaineae
Lineage: Eukaryota; Metazoa; Arthropoda; Insecta; Odonata; Coenagrionidae
Description: partial large subunit ribosomal RNA
Rfam family: Archaeal large subunit ribosomal RNA (bases 1-184)
Source: RNAcentral